This 69-nucleotide transfer RNA is filed under the name Mastacembelus erythrotaenia (fire eel). Its description in RNAcentral is "tRNA-His". It matches the Rfam family "tRNA". Rfam says of the family: Transfer RNA (tRNA) molecules are approximately 80 nucleotides in length. Their secondary structure includes four short double-helical elements and three loops (D, anti-codon, and T loops). The record is from RNAcentral. RNAcentral also lists the same sequence under 5 other names. Lineage: Eukaryota; Metazoa; Chordata; Actinopteri; Synbranchiformes; Mastacembelidae.
GUAGAUAUAGUUUAACUAAAACAUUAGAUUGUGAUUCUAAAAACAGAGGUUAAAAUCCCCUUAUCCACC